RNAcentral lists this ribosomal RNA (201 nucleotides) under uncultured bacterium. RNAcentral's name for it is "partial 16S ribosomal RNA". It matches the Rfam family "Bacterial small subunit ribosomal RNA", at positions 335 to 548 of the family's 1533-position model. The record is from RNAcentral.
ACUCCUACGGGAGGCAGCAGUAGGGAAUUUUGGUGAAUGGGGGAAACCCUGAACCAGCGACGCCGCGUGGGUGAUGAAAUCCAACGGGAUGAAAUUCCCUUAACAUGGGGACGAAAUAAAAAUGACGGUACCGGUGGAAUAAGCCUCCGGUAACUCCGUGCCACCCGCCGCCGUAAUACGGGGGAGGCAAGCGUUGUCCGG